This 254-nucleotide ribosomal RNA is filed under the name uncultured bacterium. RNAcentral describes it as "partial 16S ribosomal RNA". It matches the Rfam family "Bacterial small subunit ribosomal RNA", at positions 524 to 776 of the family's 1533-position model. The record is from RNAcentral.
UACGGGGAGAGCAAGCGUUGUUCGGAUUUACUGGGCGUAAAGGGCGCGUAGGCGGCCACCGCAAGUCGACUGUGAAAUCUCCGGGCUUAACCCGGAAAGGUCAGCCGAUACUGCGGGGCUAGAGUGCAGAAGGGGCAACUGGAAUUCUCGGUGUAGCGGUGAAAUGCGUAGAUAUCGGGAGGAACACCUGUGGCGAAAGCGGCGCACUGGACCACAACUGACGCUGAGGCGCGAAAGCUAGGGGAGCAAACAGG